UUUGCAACAAAACCACACAUUGAAGAUUGAUAAAAUCUUGUACUUAGAAAUAUAAUGUAUAAUAAUAUAUAAUUUUUUGAUAUAUGUUAUCAUAAGUAUAUUCUAGACAUUAUAUACUAGAUUGAUAAAAGUUCUGCUAAUUGUGCAAUAAAUACUAAUACUUUCUUUCAAUUGUUGUAAUGUAGAAUUUUGAUAAUUAUAUCUAUAUCUUAAAAAUCUUUUUUGAUAAUAAAA
RNAcentral lists this long non-coding RNA (234 nucleotides) under Physcomitrium patens. Its description in RNAcentral is "long non-coding RNA (PPAT_LNC011967)". Lineage: Eukaryota; Viridiplantae; Streptophyta; Bryopsida; Funariales; Funariaceae. The record is from RNAcentral.